AAUAAGGAUUUUAGUUCUUAGCUCUAUCUCUUUAUCUUUAAUAUUAAAGGGCAUAUUCAUCAGCCCACACUUACAUUUUUUUAGAGGAAGUACAAAAGGCACUGUGCUAGGGAUUUUUUCUUUCUCUGUCUUUCUUUUUUUUUUUUUUUUCAAGUCUAGUAAAAAUAAAAUCCAGCCAAUGGCAAGCAUUCAUGUAAUAGGAUGUAUUUCCAGGAGAUAAAACUAGUAAAUUUAUCCUGAUAGGAUUGCAGUUUACAGUAAAACUUUGACCAUGGACAACUUAAAUAGCAUCACCUAUGAUGAAGUCAAAGACAUCAAAACAUUCUCGUUGUCAGAUGAGAUGAUGUUUGCAUCUUCUGGACUCACACCAUUUGAAAUUAGUGAACCAAAGAAUAAGAAAAAGACUUGCCGAUGCUGUUUUUGGUCUGUAGUACUCAUAAUAUAUUUGGUUAUGCUCACAGGAGGCAUGGGACUGUUGGCUUAUGAAGUCUAUACGAUGCACAAAAUUAUAAAUAAUAUGAAAGAUGGCGGAACAGCAAAUAAAGUGAAUCAUCUUGCCAAUGCCUCCAUUGAGAAUGAGAUCAUUUUUGGAAUCAAUGCUGAGAAUGGUCAAGAAAACUGGAUCCACAAUUUAAAACAAGAAUUUCAUGUAAUCAAAUUGAGCAACCAAUAUUUACAAUGGGUAAUGGCGAACAUUACAGACCAAAUUAAAAGCAACAUGACUCAAGGAAUUGCAGGACCUCCUGGACCUAAAGGAGAAAGAGGAAUUCCAGGAAGAAGAGGUGACCGAGGAGAUAAAGGUGAAAAAGGAGACAUUGGAAUCAAAGGGAACCCAGGAACAAAUGGGAUCGGACUUUCUGGACCCAAAGGAGAACCUGGUGUUCCAGGAAUACAAGGAUAUGCUGGUUCCCCAGGAGAAAAAGGUGAUACAGGAGCCAUGGGACCAAUAGGGAUAAAAGGAGAUCAAGGUUUACCAGGUUUUCCUGGCCUAAAUGGUGAAAAGGGUUCAAAAGGGGAUCUUGGGCCUGCUGGACUAACAGGAGAACCAGGAAUGAAAGGAGAAACGGGGGAGAUGGGAUUACACGGCUUACCGGGAUCAAAAGGAGAACCUGGUGAAAGUGGAAUCAUGGGCCCAAGAGGAUUAACUGGUCAUAAAGGAGAGAAGGGAGAGAAGGGGAAUGAAGGCUCGCCAGGUCCUCAAGGUUUCCAAGGUGCUCCUGGAGUAGACGGAGAUAAAGGUGCUGCUGGAAAUGUAGGUCCACCAGGAACUCGUGGCCCAAAGGGUGAACAAGGGGAGAAAGGAGCAGCAAGUCAAGUUCCAGGCCCACGAGGACAAAAAGGUGAUCAAGGUCAAAAAGGUAGUAAGGGAGAUACAGGAUCACCGGGAACACAAGGUUCUAAAGGUGAAAGGGGCAUCUCAGGAUUCGGUGCUUUCCUCAGACUCAUAGGAGAAGACAAUCGUGGCCGUGUGGAGAUUUUGCACAAAGGGCAAUGGGGCACCAUCUGUGAUGAUUAUUGGGAUGUGAAUGCUGGCAACGUGGUUUGCAAAAUGCUGGGGUUCAAUCGCGCUGUUAAUACCUUCACUGCACCUGCAGGAUCUGGACAAAUCUGGCUGGAUGAUGUGCAAUGUUCAGGAAACGAACUCUCCAUUUAUUUGUGCACAAAACGUGAAUGGGGUGAAAACAACUGCAGUCAUAGUGAAGAUGCUGGGGUUGAGUGUGCUUAAGGCAAUUUUGCAGCACAACCUAUAAAAUAAUAUUGAAAUAAGCAUCUCAGCCUUGUCAUGUGCCUUGGAUGAUGACAGGCAGGGAUAUCCAAAUUGGCAUACAUCAUUUUCUGACAUCUGCUCACCCAGAAAUGAAGAAAGAAGAAGAAUUGGGUUGUAUUAAAGGAGCAAGAAAGAUGUAUUUUCAAGGAAUUGUUUUAUGUAGCAUUUUAUUACUGCUUCCAAAAUAUGUCAUUUUAGCUAGUCUUGGCAAAUGUUGACCUGAAGACAUAUUGGCGGGAUGAAAUGUUGCAAAUGUUGUCUACAGUUUAUUAUUGGCUCAUAAAAUUCAGCAUAAGCUGAAUGCACACAAACACAGAUGGAGUGAAAGAGAGAAAUACCACUGGGCCUCAUAUAGCCAAACUGGAAAAGAGGCCAGUGCCGAGAAGGGGCUUAUCUUGUAUUGGCAGCAAUCCUCUGGACAAUGCUCUACAUCAGUGAUGAAAUUCAA
Thamnophis elegans (Western terrestrial garter snake) is the source of this 2216-nucleotide RNA transcript. It is a transcript of the gene named macrophage receptor with collagenous structure, with no coding region annotated. The record is from RefSeq and is a predicted model, not a curated record. The transcript is spliced from 18 exons. NCBI's taxonomy places the organism in Eukaryota, Metazoa, Chordata, Lepidosauria, Squamata, Natricidae.